This is an RNA transcript of Phragmites australis (common reed), 2537 nucleotides long. It is a transcript of the gene named scarecrow-like protein 21, with no coding region annotated. The record is from RefSeq and is a predicted model, not a curated record. Lineage: Eukaryota; Viridiplantae; Streptophyta; Magnoliopsida; Poales; Poaceae. The transcript has 4 exons.
UUUCUUCCCCACCACACCGCACCAAUACAUCCAUCAAUCCCCGUCGCUGAGCAGUCGUCGUCUUUUCCAUCCCUCUCGCUUUACCUCUCCCUUCUCCCUCUCUCUCUCCCCCUCUUUGCUGGUCUCUCCCUCUUUCCUGCCUCUUUUCAGCUCCGAUCCGGUCCUGGGAGCAUCGGAGUCUGUGAGUUGUUUCUUGCUUUAGACGGGUCUAAGAAAUACAAGAAUCGCCGCGGAACUUCUGUUUCUUGAUGUGGAUGAUGUCAGCACACUAAAUAUAAUUUUGAUAAAGAUGCAAGGAUGCGCUCCCUGCUGAGUUUUGUCCUACAAGUUUGCAAAAGGUAGUAUGUCAGCUAGGGCUUCCAACCAUCCAUACAAAUGUUCAGAUGGUUCUCAAAUGCCAUACUACAACAACUCAGUGCCUUCAGGAGAAAAUGAUAGGUUUUAUGUAAUGCAAAAUAAUGUAGACCAUCACUACUCUUCUUCUGAUGAUGGGCCACAGAGGAUUAAUAAUCCCAACCCUCGAGUAUUUGAAGCACAGUACUGCACUCUGGAGUCAUCCUCAGCAAAUGGUGUUUAUCCUGCACAAAGCUCCACAUCUUCUCACAGCAUCUCCCCUAUAAGUGGGAGCCCCCUGUCUCAGCAUGAUAGUCACUCAGACCACACAUACAGUUCUCCCCCAAGUGCUUCCAGUCUAACUGAGAUUGCAGAUCUCCAGGUUAAACUAAAAGAGUUGGAAAAUGCCAUUCUUGGACCUGAAUUGGACAUUACUUCUGACACCCCUGAGAGCUUCUUGCAAGCCAAUGCUCCGUUGAGACCAGAUAACUGGAGACAACUUCUGGGAAUUGAUACAGGAGACUUGAGGCAAGCAAUCAUAGCAUGUGGUAAGGCUGUUGCCAAGAAUGAUGUCUUUGCGACAGAACUACUGAUAUCUGAGCUAGGUCAGCUAGUAUCUGUCUCCGGAGAUCCAAUGCAGCGACUUGGAGCCUAUAUAUUGGAAGGCGUUGUUGCUAGACUUUCUUCCUCUGGCAGUGUGCUAUAUAAAUCUUUGAAAUGUAAAGAACCUACAAGCUCUGAGCUCAUGUCAUACAUGCAUCUCCUUUAUGAGAUCUGCCCAUUCUACAAAUUUGGUUACAUGUCAGCGAAUGGUGCCAUCGCCGAGGCUAUUAAGGGUGCAAACUUUGUUCACAUCAUUGAUUUCCAAAUUGCACAGGGGAGCCAGUGGGUAACUCUGAUACAGGCUCUUGCAGCACGGCCUGGGGGUCCACCAUGCGUUAGAAUCACCGGUAUAGAUGACUCAAAUUCUGCUUAUGCCCGAGGGGGUGGGCUCGAUAUAGUUGGGAUGAGAUUGCAUAGUAUUGCUCAGUCGUGUGGUCUUCCUUUUGAGUUCAAUGCUGUUCCAGCUGCUAGCCAUGAGGUUGUGCUUGAGCAUCUUGAUAUAAGAUCUGGGGAGGUUAUUGCUGUGAAUUUUGCCUAUCAGCUGCAUCAUGUUCCUGAUGAAAGCGUAAGCGUGGAAAAUCAUAGGGAUAGGAUUAUAAGAAUGAUCAAGAGCAUCAAUCCUAGGGUGGUGACUCUUGUUGAGCAGGAGUCAAAUACAAACACAGCUCCAUUCUUCCCAAGAUACAUGGAAAUUCUUGACUACUAUACAGCCAUGUUUGAGUCAAUAGAUGUUGCUCUCCCAAGGGAUGAUAGGAGGCGGAUCAGCGCAGAACAACACUGUGUUGCAAGGGAUAUUGUUAAUUUAAUCGCAUGUGAGGGUGCUGAAAGAGUUGAGAGGCACGAACUGUUUGGAAAAUGGAAGGCAAGAUUUGUAAUGGCUAGUUUUAGGCCAUACCCGCUGAGUUCAGUGGUGAACAGCACCAUCAAAAUACUGCUGCAGAGUUAUAACAGCUGCUACAGGCUUGAGGAGAGAGAUGGUGUCCUUUACCUUGGAUGGAAGAAUAGAGUAUUGGUAGUAUCUUCUGCAUGGUGUUGACAUUUCUGGAGAAGAAGCUCACAUAUGAAAUGACGAACCACGAUCUCAUUGUUAACUUUCUCCAUUUCUUCUUUCUCCACGUAGCAAAUAAGGGAAACAUCGCAUCUCCGGUCUCCAUCUCAUAGAUCCAAAGAUUCCAACCUGGAACUUUGUUGUUUCUUGCCUCUCUUCAGUUUUCAACCCUCCCAUACUCACUAGCCAUCUAAUUCAGUGGUUAGAUUAUCGCCUAAAAUCUUCGCAGCAAGUUGAAGUGAUACUCGAAACUUAGAAGUUGUACCUGUUUUAUACAUGCUAGAUAUGUUUAAUACUAGGAAUUUGGUCUCUCUAAAGCUGGGUUGUCCUCUCCUUAGGUUUUACAUGGUGUAAUUUAAUCCUCGGAGGUUAAGCUAGGCAGACACAAGAGGUGCCUGUUAAUUAGUUUUCUAUGAUUCUAUCAGUUGUAAUGUGUUAAGACGCCUGCUCUGUAUAUAUGUGGAAUGCUAGAAUGGUUCCUUUGUGAUAAAAUUUCUGGCUCACGUGUCAUGUAUCAUAGUUUUAUCUUGUAACAUGCAGUUAUUUCUCGUUC